CCCGGUUUGUCACCGGCAGUCUCUGCAGAGUCCUCGGCAUGACCCGUUAGCAACUAAAGACGAGGGUUGCGCUCGUUGCGGGACUUAACCCAACAUCUCACGGCACGAGCUGACGACAGCCAUGCAGCACCUUACUGGCGGUGUAUUGCUACAAAGUGAGCUUUCACCCACGGUCCACCAGCAUUCUAGCCCAGGUAAGGUUCCUCGCGUAUCAUCGAAUUAAACCGCAUGCUCCACCGCUUGUGCGGACCCCCGUCAAUUCCUUUGAGUUUCAACCUUGCGGUCGUACUUCCCAGGUGGGAUACUUAAUGCUUUCGCUCAGACACACACUGUGUAUCGCGUAUGUCGAGUAUCCAUCGUUUAGGGCGUGGACUAC
This 376-nucleotide unclassified non-coding RNA is filed under the name uncultured Chitinophagaceae bacterium. RNAcentral's name for it is "contains 16S-23S intergenic spacer region". Lineage: Bacteria; Pseudomonadati; Bacteroidota; Chitinophagia; Chitinophagales; Chitinophagaceae. The record is from RNAcentral.